AACACAUGCAAGUCGAGGGGAAACGAUAUUGGAAGCUUGCUUCUGAUAGGCGUCGACCGGCGCACGGGUGAGUAACGCGUAUCCAACCUGCCCAUCACUUGGGGAUAACCUUGCGAAAGUAAGACUAAUACCCAAUGAUAUCUCAAGAAGACAUCUGAAUGAGAUUAAAGAUUUAUCGGUGAUGGAUGGGGAUGCGUCUGAUUAGCUUGUUGGCGGGGUAACGGCCCACCAAGGCUACGAUCAGUAGGGGUUCUGAGAGGAAGGUCCCCCACAUUGGAACUGAGACACGGUCCAAACUCCUACGGGAGGCAGCAGUGAGGAAUAUUGGUCAAUGGGCGAGAGCCUGAACCAGCCAAGGGGCGUGCAGGAUGACGGCCCUAUGGGUUGUAAACUGCUUUUAUAAGGGAAUAAAGUGAGCCUCGUGAGGCUUUUUGCAUGUACCUUAUGAAUAAGGACCGGCUAAUUCCGUGCCAGCAGCCGCGGUAAUACGGAAGGUCCGGGCGUUAUCCGGAUUUAUUGGGUUUAAAGGGAGCGUAGGCCGGAGAUUAAGCGUGUUGUGAAAUGUAGAUGCUCAACAUCUGCACUGCAGCGCGAACUGGUUUCCUUGAGUACGCACAAAGUGGGCGGAAUUCGUGGUGUAGCGGUGAAAUGCUUAGAUAUCACGAAGAACUCCGAUUGCGAAGGCAGCUCACUGGAGCGCAACUGACGCUGAAGCUCGAAAGUGCGGGUAUCGAACAGGGUUAGAUACCCUGGUAGUCCGCACGGUAAACGAUGGAUGCCCGCUGUUGGUCUGAAUAGGUCAGCGGCCAAGCGAAAGCAUAAAGCAUCCCACCUGGGGAGU
RNAcentral lists this ribosomal RNA (841 nucleotides) under uncultured bacterium. Its description in RNAcentral is "bacterial SSU rRNA". It matches the Rfam family "Bacterial small subunit ribosomal RNA", at positions 50 to 881 of the family's 1533-position model. The record is from RNAcentral.